This is a non-coding RNA of Zootoca vivipara (common lizard), 570 nucleotides long. The record is from RefSeq and is a predicted model, not a curated record. Lineage: Eukaryota; Metazoa; Chordata; Lepidosauria; Squamata; Lacertidae.
GACCUGUUGGAAAGCGGCGCGAUCGCAUUUCUAUUAGAGCCAUUCGCAUAGAGAGGCUCGUAAACCGUAGGACUGUGAGCCGCUAGGGGGCGAAGAAGAGACUUCAGGGGAGGAGGCGGCGGGGUUUUAACGCGGUGGCGUCACACACACAGAGGAGGCGGGUCUUACGAAGGAGAGCGAAGCAGAUGGCGAUUUCUGCUUCUGGGCCACCUGAAAAAUGGAUCAGUCGCCAUCCGCGGCAGCGGAGUCCAGUCCGCGGCCUGGCGCGGUGCUGAUUCUCUUUGUGAUGAUGUCAUUUAGAGAGGAACUUGGGUAAGAAGACUGCGAUGUUCCGCAUGCUUACAAGAAAAUCCAGUUGGGCUUCCUGACGAUGUUGCCAGCCAUUCAAGAUGUGAGCUCGGAUCACGUUGGAUCCAGCAGCGCUGAGUGAAGUGGAUCCUUCUCUUGUGACCUUCUCAGACCACCACCUGGCAAUUAACCCACCUGACGGACUUAAGUCCUGGCACUGCCCAGCUCCGAAAAGUGUUUCAGCUUGGCGAAAGGUGAACAAUUUGCUCUCGGGAAUUGGUA